Ipomoea nil (Japanese morning glory) is the source of this 94-nucleotide long non-coding RNA. RefSeq lists it as uncharacterized. The record is from RefSeq and is a predicted model, not a curated record. Lineage: Eukaryota; Viridiplantae; Streptophyta; Magnoliopsida; Solanales; Convolvulaceae. The transcript has 3 exons.
GAAAUUGUGGUGCGACAAUACCGCUGCUCUUCACAUUGCAGCGAAUCCAGUCUUCCAUGAACGAACAAAGCACAUCGAGGUUGAUUGUCACUUU